Molecule: long non-coding RNA, 1492 nt
Organism: Harpia harpyja (harpy eagle)
Lineage: Eukaryota; Metazoa; Chordata; Aves; Accipitriformes; Accipitridae
Exons: 5
Source: RefSeq, a predicted model, not a curated record
GAAGGUUCGGGCCGGGUCCCGGCGCGGUUCCCCGCGGGGAGCAGCCCCACGCGUGGGGCCCCACGCCGCCCCUCCGCACGCCGCCCCUCGGGCUGCCUCUCCCGAAGCCCCGUUUUUGCCCGGCGAGGCCCCUUAUCCGGCCCGGCCCGGCUUGGGGAGGGGUGUGCGGGCCCCGGCGGGGAGCAGGCCCGGCCUUCACCUCAGCUCCUGUCAGGCGUUUGCGGGUCGGUGCUCAGGCCGCUUGCCCUGUGGUUAGCAAUUUUAAAAAUAAUUGUGGUUUUUUUCCGGAAGAAGCAGCCCCGUGGCCAGCUGUAAAGGAGAAACCCCUCAGAGAGCCCUGUUGCUGGGCAUGGUCGUGAAAGGAAGGUUUCAGUAAAAGAAUGGAGCAAAUACACGGGGAGAGUUAUCUAGGUUUGCUGAAGAGCAGAGUGGGUGUGAACAUGCAGAGAACCAUAACAUGGAAAUCCAGCCGCUGCCUCCAGAGAUGUGGAGACCUGCAGUGUCCAGAGGAAGGUGCCCGUCCCUCCCGUCAUGGCUCUGCGGGAAUCCAUUCCCUUUCACCAGGAGCACAGAAAAAGUGGAAAAUAAAACAGCAACAACAAAAACUUUCCAUAGGCAAGAUUCCUAAAUGCUAAAUAUGAGAACAUCAGAAGACCUUAGAAGCAAAGUAACUAAGAAAGUAGGAUUAUUGUUGAAAGGUGUCACUCUUUUUUGGAUCAGGAGAAGCGUGGAUUGAGAGUCAGCAGUGCAUUUUUCCAGGGGCAAACACAGUGGAACAGCAUCUAUUUUUGCUGAAGGCUUAAGCUGCGGAAUCAGCGGCGGCAGGUUCUCGGCAAGGCAGAGCACUGAUUCAGCGCCCCUUCGAUAAGGCUCAGCUUCGGAAAGCACUGAGCCGCCCUGGCAGUGAAUCAUGCAAAAGGCCACUCACAUCUCGAUGAUCGGCGUUUUGAAUAUCCAGCCUAGCCAUACCCAACAAGGGAUCCACAGUAGGAUUAAAAUUCACUCGCAAGACACAACAUCUGGCAUUGCUAAGGUUGCUAGUCAGCUCCACGUGAUCCCUCACCUCCAGGACACACACUUCAGCAUCACUGACUUGCUGUAGGCAUCUUCAGGAAUCUGUAUUGCGUGAAUCGCAGGUUUGUAACAACAAGGACAGCAAGUUUCCUAAUUUGUAACAGAUGGUAUCUAGAUAAAAACUCCAUCCUGACAAUUCCUUCAUCUCCCACACCCAGUAACUUCAUAAACUUCAAGUAUGCAUAAGGACUGUUCAAAGUAGGAAUUGAGAUAGGGUGACAGCAUAUAGGGCCUAAAACAGAAAAAACCUCUUCUUCAAGGAACUGUCUCCACAGAGGCACCGGGGCAAUAAACAAGUCACGUAUUUUAUGAAAACUACAGAGUUCUGAGUAAUCAUUUAUUGGUUAUGCUGAUCACUAAUCUGCAACUGGAACUAUAAAAAUAAACUCUAUAAUGAUUUGCUCUGUGUUUCAACUUA